CUUGAACCGGUCCAGGACGGCUUUUCCCUGCAUAUAUCGCUACUCAACAUUAAUGUCAACUCGAGCAUUUGUCUGAAAACACAACGGAGCUCCGAGCACGGGUACUUUAAUCAACCCAGUGAGGUUUAGAGUCUGACCCACGUACAGACAGCGCAGUGGGGAUCCCCACUGAGACCACUCGAACCAGCGCUGCAGUCCCUCGUCAGCUGCAGACAGACAGACAUCCGAUCUACAGGUCACAGGUGAUUAUUGAGUUUCCAGCUCUCAGUGGAAUGAUGUGUGAAGUCAUGGAACUGGCUACUCUGGGCCGUCCUUUCCAGCUAGGAAUGCUGUAUGACUGCCGGUCAGAUACUCUGAUCCCAGACAUCACCUUGUGGGAUUCACAGACACUGCAAAACAACCUCAGUAGUCGGGAUCAUCCCAGCACUGAGUUUCACAUCAUCACAUCAGACUCCAUGGAGAAGAAAGUUGCCGCACUCAAUGUGUCGGAAUCACUGAAAGCAAGUCUGCUGAGUGGUGCAGUGGAGGUGAAAGGAUCAGCAAAAUAUCUCACUGACACAAAGGAAUCAAAACAACAGGCACGAGUUACCCUUCAGUACAA
Molecule: long non-coding RNA, 601 nt
Organism: Mobula hypostoma (lesser devil ray)
Lineage: Eukaryota; Metazoa; Chordata; Chondrichthyes; Myliobatiformes; Myliobatidae
Exons: 3
Source: RefSeq, a predicted model, not a curated record